GCAGACACAUUCCAGCCAAUCAGCAGCAGACCCUCCCUCCCAGACCCUCCCACCUCCUGGACAGCAUCCAUUUUACAUUCAUUGUGAAGCUGCAUUCUUAGUGAGCUGUCCAGGAGGUGGGAGGGUAUGGGAGGGAGGGUCUGCUGCUGAUUGGCUGUAAUGUGUCUG
Molecule: microRNA precursor, 168 nt
Filed under: Pelobates cultripes (western spadefoot toad)
Lineage: Eukaryota; Metazoa; Chordata; Amphibia; Anura; Pelobatidae
Source: RNAcentral